AAAAUUUUAAGAGGGCUAGGGAAUUUCAAA
This 30-nucleotide small RNA is filed under the name Arabidopsis thaliana (thale cress). RNAcentral describes it as "ATSL262490". Lineage: Eukaryota; Viridiplantae; Streptophyta; Magnoliopsida; Brassicales; Brassicaceae. The record is from RNAcentral.